CAUCUUCCCUGAAACUCUGCACCCGCUUCCCACGCAUCACAAAAACGUCAAUACCCUCCUCCCCUGGCCGCGGGACCCCUUGGCCGCGCCGCCGAACACAAUCGCGAGGCCUCCUUCCACAGUUCCACGGGAGCAUGUCGCUUCGGAUUCAUCUCGCGUAGCCGCCGCGCUCCUCCACGCUCUACUGUUCGCACAGAACACGCUCCGUCCGGAUUGGAGUGAUUAUUUCAUCUACCGUUGGGAGUAUAUGCAAUGACUUCAAGCAAUCAUGGGUGUAUGAGGCAACAAUUUUAUGGAAGGGGAACUCCACAACAACGAGGAGAUAAUAGGGGUUUCUAUCAACCUAGAUAUGCUGAAUCACCGUGCCCUUGGGCUGAAUAUGGAGAAAGUGAUGAUUAUCAGUAUGAGGAGGAUUACAUGGAGUAUGAGGAUUAUGUGGAGUCUGAUGAUCUGGGUGGUUGGCAUGGAGAAAGAGCAAGAUAUGAUUUUUUUAGACCCAAUAAUAGAGGGUAUGGGUCUGUAGGUGACAUUGGACAAGGAAGCUCUCAUCUUGUGGACGGUCGACAAUGGGCAAGACAUUCAUAUUAUCACCCAUCACAAUGUGGCAGCACAAGCUAUAACAUGCAACAUAAAAAUCGAAAAAAUUAUGUACUGCAAGCACAUCAAAGAGAGGGAAGAUGCAAAGGCAAUGCUCCAUGGCCGGUUCACAAACACCAGAAGGAUGGUCCAACUGAGAGGUAAAAAAUGACAUGUAGAAAGGCAGGAAUUCAACAAAUAAGAAGACAAGAGUUUCCUGCAUGUGGAAGAAGUUCAAUAAGUAUUUUUGUAGAAGAUAAUAAGGACAAAAAAUUAGAUGGAUCAACUGUGAUUCCUGAGCCAAAACAUCAGUUAAAUUCUUUACAAAAACUGGAACUGGAGAUAAAAGAAAUGAAGGUCAAAUUGGAAACAAUGAGCAACUCAGAUGGUAAAGAUUCAGUAUCGGAGAAGAAAAUCAAUGAAUUGAGCAAUCAGUUGCAAGAAAAGGUGGAUGAAAUGGAUUUUAUUGAGUCAUCCAAUCAAAUUCUGGUUAUCAAGGAACGCAGAAGCAAUGAUGAGCUGCAAGAGAUACGGACAGAACUAAUAAAUGGUCUGCUUGAGCAUGGUUGUGCCCGAGCACAUAUAGGCAUCAAGAGGAUGGGUGAGCUUGAUCCAAAAGCAUUUUCAAAUGCUUGCAAGCCAAUAUUGCCUGAGGACAAUGCCGAAGUUAAUGCUGCUAUUCUUUGUUCAAAGUGGGAAGCUGAAAUAAAAAAAAACAGAAUGGCAUCCUUAUGAUGUUGUCACGGUUGGAGGAAAAGAUAUGGAGGUAAUCAAGGAAGAUGAUCCGAAACUUAAAGAACUAAAAGAGGAGCUCGGUGGAGAAAUCUAUGCCCUGGUGACAACAGCUCUGCUUGAAAUCAAUGAGUAUAAUUAAUCCUAGCGGCAGAUCCUGUAGCUGAGAUGUGGAAUUUCAAGGAAGGGCGGAAAGCAACACUGAAGGAGGUUGUCCAGUUCGUCCUGAAACAGUGGAGGACACACAAGAGGAAACGUUGAUGUCCGCUGCUUGAUCGUUAGCUGCAAUUAGCUGCUUGGGAAUUGGUACGCUCAUCUUUGAUAGCAUAGGUGUAUUUUUUGGGAGUGAGGUAAUGCAUGAAUGAACUAUGCUAAUUGCAUGAAUCAUGUCUGAGUCGAGGCAGCUUUUGUGCAUGUAUGGAGUAUGGUUGCCCAUCAUGAACUGUUGAACAGGCGGCAGUGGCCAGUAGAUUAAGCUAGUAGUUCAAGCUGUAUGGGCAUUGACAAACUUUUGGGAUAGUUCUCGGACCUCAUGCCAAAAUGUUCUCUCUUUUAAGUACUUAAGUGGAUUAUCCAAAGGCAAACCCUUUUAACUA
Long non-coding RNA from Setaria italica (foxtail millet), 1904 nucleotides. RefSeq lists it as uncharacterized. The transcript has 5 exons. The record is from RefSeq and is a predicted model, not a curated record. NCBI's taxonomy places the organism in Eukaryota, Viridiplantae, Streptophyta, Magnoliopsida, Poales, Poaceae.